This 161-nucleotide small RNA is filed under the name Chelonoidis abingdonii (Abingdon island giant tortoise). RNAcentral's name for it is "TUC338 (ENSCABG00000006498.1)". The record is from RNAcentral. Lineage: Eukaryota; Metazoa; Chordata; Testudines; Testudinidae.
CUCACAUCUCUGGGAGCUGAAGUCCUGUGUUUAUCUACAAAACAUGUACAUCGUAGAAAGUGGCAGUGGAAACUUCCCCCUUACUGCCCCACCAAUGUGUCUCAUCUUUGUAUUACAGUAAAAGUUUUGUUAUCUGGCAUGCUCUGGAAAUGUGGGGUGCC